UGAAGCCAAUAAAACUAAAUAAAAAAGCACUUGUGAGCAAGUUAUUACUGUAGCAGCUAGUUGUUGUUAUUGUUGCUGAAUUGCUGUUGCUACUUCGCAAGAAUCUUUGGAACUCGAUGGUCUGCCCGAGUAGCUAAACAACUUCAGUCAACGUGUAAAAGCGGCCGCGGUCGCAACGGUUUAGAGCAGUAAGUGAGCGUUUUUUUUUUUGAAUUACCGAUAUUGCCAAUGGUGCGAAACAAGCGACAACAGCAUUAGCGGUAAUACGAUUUUUUUUUGUUUUCUGAGGAUAAACUUGGUUGUGGCACCAUCAACCGCUUUACCAAUCAACCAAGAAAGUCAGCAAUGCAACAGCAAGCAAUCAAUCGACUAGCGAAACGACAAAGUUGUGUUGACGCUGAUGCAUCUUGGAAUGCAAGCGAUAAAUUGUAGUGUAUUUUUUGAGGAACUUACAAUACGAAAAUAAAAAGUGGAAAAUUUCAAUCAAAGUGUGACUAAAAAAGUGAAGGGCAAUCUAAACUCAGCAGCAGAGGCGUGAAUUUUUUUUCAAUUAGACAUCAAGCGAACACAGUGGGCUCACUCAAGCGAAUGAAAUGAAGCAUAAUUGAAAAACAAAAAAAAAUAAAUAUUAAAACAUAAAAAUUGAUUAAAAAU
This is a long non-coding RNA of Rhagoletis zephyria (snowberry fruit fly), 654 nucleotides long. RefSeq lists it as uncharacterized. Lineage: Eukaryota; Metazoa; Arthropoda; Insecta; Diptera; Tephritidae. The record is from RefSeq and is a predicted model, not a curated record.